RNAcentral lists this ribosomal RNA (302 nucleotides) under uncultured bacterium. RNAcentral describes it as "partial 16S ribosomal RNA". It matches the Rfam family "Bacterial small subunit ribosomal RNA", at positions 508 to 809 of the family's 1533-position model. The record is from RNAcentral.
GCAGCCGCCGCGGGAAUACAGAGGGUGCGAGCGUUAAUCGGAUUUACUGGGCGUAAAGCGUGCGUAGGCGGCUUCUUAAGUCGGAUGUGAAAUCCCUGAGCUUAACUUAGGAAUUGCAUUCGAUACUGGGAAGCUAGAGUAUGGGAGAGGAUGGUAGAAUUCCAGGUGUAGCGGUGAAAUGCGUAGAGAUCUGGAGGAAUACCGAUGGCGAAGGCAGCCAUCUGGCCUAAUACUGACGCUGAGGUACGAAAGCAUGGGGAGCAAACAGGAUUAGAUACCCCAGUAGUCCCUGUCUCUUAUAA